Molecule: non-coding RNA, 85 nt
Organism: Schistocephalus solidus
Lineage: Eukaryota; Metazoa; Platyhelminthes; Cestoda; Diphyllobothriidea; Diphyllobothriidae
Source: Rfam
GGUUCCUCGUGGCUCAUUUGGCUGGAGCUUUGGCUGUACCAAAGCCUUCCCCUUGCUUGUGUGGGUUCGAAUCCCACCGAGGCCA